GCCGGACGUGGUGGCGCGUGCCUGUAGUCCCAGCUACCCGGGAGGCUGAGGCAGGAGAAUCGCUUGAGUCCAGGAGUUCUGGGCUGUAGUGCGCUAUGCCGAUCGGGUGUCCGCACUAAGUUCGGCAUCAAUAUGGUGACCUCCCAGGAGCGGGGGACCACCAGGUUGCCUAAGGAGGGGUGAACCGGCCCAGGUCAGAAAUGGAGCAGGUCAAAACUCCCGUGCUGAUCAGUAGUGGGAUCGCGCCUGUGAAUAGCCACUGCACUCCAGCCUGGGCAACAUAGCGAGACCCCGUCUCU
This 299-nucleotide signal recognition particle RNA is filed under the name Microcebus murinus (gray mouse lemur). Its description in RNAcentral is "Metazoan signal recognition particle RNA (ENSMICG00000047309.1)". It matches the Rfam family "Metazoan signal recognition particle RNA". Rfam says of the family: The signal recognition particle (SRP) is a universally conserved ribonucleoprotein. It is involved in the co-translational targeting of proteins to membranes. The record is from RNAcentral. Lineage: Eukaryota; Metazoa; Chordata; Mammalia; Primates; Cheirogaleidae.